Molecule: ribosomal RNA, 427 nt
Filed under: uncultured bacterium
Lineage: Bacteria
Description: bacterial SSU rRNA
Rfam family: Bacterial small subunit ribosomal RNA
Source: RNAcentral
UCGAGAAUUUUUCUCAAUGGGGGAAACCCUGAAGGAGCGACGCCGCGUGGAGGAUGAAGGCUUUCGGGUUGUAAACUCCUGUCAUUUGGGAACAAGGCUAUUCGGUUAACUGCCGAGUAGUUGAUAGUACCAGAAGAGGAAGAGACGGCUAACUCUGUGCCAGCAGCCGCGGUAAUACAGAGGUCUCAAGCGUUGUUCGGAUUCAUUGGGCGUAAAGGGUGCGUAGGUGGCGCGGUAAGUCGGGUGUGAAAUCUCGGAGCUUAACUCCGAAAUUGCAUUCGAUACUGCCGUGCUUGAGGACUGGAGAGGAGACUGGAAUUCAUGGUGUAGCAGUGAAAUGCGUAGAGAUCAUGAGGAAGACCAGUGGCGAAGGCGGGUCUCUGGACAGUUCCUGACACUGAGGCACGAAGGCCAGGGGAGCAAACGG